UACGGAGGGUGCAAGCGUUAAUCGGAAUUACUGGGCGUAAAGCGUGCGUAGGCGGUUUAGUAAGUCAGAUGUGAAAGCCCUGGGCUUAACCUGGGAACUGCAUUUGAAACUGCUGAACUAGAGUGUGGUAGAGGGAAGUGGAAUUCCGGGUGUAGCGGUGAAAUGCGUAGAUAUCCGGAGGAACACCAGUGGCGAAGGCGACUUCCUGGACCAACACUGACGCUGAGGUACGAAAGCGUGGGUAGCAAACAGG
This 253-nucleotide ribosomal RNA is filed under the name uncultured Sedimenticola sp. RNAcentral describes it as "partial 16S ribosomal RNA". It matches the Rfam family "Bacterial small subunit ribosomal RNA", at positions 524 to 776 of the family's 1533-position model. The record is from RNAcentral. Lineage: Bacteria; Pseudomonadati; Pseudomonadota; Gammaproteobacteria; Chromatiales; Sedimenticolaceae.